RNAcentral lists this ribosomal RNA (467 nucleotides) under uncultured bacterium. Its description in RNAcentral is "partial 16S ribosomal RNA". It matches the Rfam family "Bacterial small subunit ribosomal RNA", at positions 28 to 506 of the family's 1533-position model. The record is from RNAcentral.
GACGAACGCUGGCGGCGUGCUUAACACAUGCAAGUCGAACGGAAAGGCCCUGCUUUUGUGGGGUGCUCGAGUGGCGAACGGGUGAGUAACACGUGAGUAACCUGCCCUUGACUUUGGGGUAACUUCAGGAAACUGGGGCUAAUACCGGAUAGGAGCUCCUGCUGCAUGGUGGGGGUUGGAAAGUUUCGGCGGUUGGGGAUGGACGCGCGGCUUAUCAGCUUGUUGGUGGGGUAGUGGCUUACCAAGGAUUUGACGGGUAGCCGGACUGAGAGGGUGACCGGCCCCAUAGGCACUGGGAUGCGGCCCAGGGGCCUACGUGGAGCAGGAGUGGAGAAUAGUGCACAAUGGGCGGAAGCCUGAAGCAGCAACGCCGCGUGGGGGAUGACGGCCUUCGGGAUGUAAACCGCUUUCGCCUGUGACGAAGCGUGAGUGACGGUAAUGAGUAAAGAAGCACCGGCUAACUACGU